Molecule: ribosomal RNA, 279 nt
Filed under: uncultured bacterium
Lineage: Bacteria
Description: partial 16S ribosomal RNA
Rfam family: Bacterial small subunit ribosomal RNA
Source: RNAcentral
UGCCAGCCGCCGCGGUAAUACGGAAGGUGCAAGCGUUAGUCGGAUUUAUUGGGCGUAAAGAGCGCGUAGGCGGACAUGCAAGUCAGAUGUGAAAUUCCGGAGCUCAACUCCGGAGCUGCAUUUGAAACUACAUGUCUCGAGGAUAAGCGGAGAAAGUGGAAUUCCAUGUGUAGCGGUGAAAUGCGUAGAUAUAUGGAAGAACACCAGUGGCGAAGGCGACUUUCUAGCUUAUUCCUGACGCUAAGGCGCGAAAGCAAGGGGAGCGAACAGGAUUAGAUA